UCUGCUCAAUGAAAAUUAAAUAGCCGCAAUUAUAUUGUGCUAAGGUAGCAUAAUCAUUCGUCUUUUAAUUAAAGACUAGAAUAAAUGAUUUUUCAUUUAAUUUAUUUUUUUAAAUCUAAUUUUAAAAAUUCUUUUAAAUAUUAAAAAAUAUUUAUAAUUAAAAAAGACAAUAAGACCCUAUUAAACUUUACUAAUGUUUAACUGGGAAAGUUAAUUAAUUAAUAUUUUAAUAAAAAUAAAUAAUAUUUUCCAAUAUUAUUGAAUAAAAUAAGUUACUAUAGGGAUAACAGCGUAAUAAUUUUCUAAAGAUCUUAUUUUAAAAAAAGUUUACGACCUCGAUGUUGAAUUAUUUUUCUUAUUGAAGCAAGCAUUAAUAAAGAAAGUCUGUUCGACUUUUAAUUAAUUACAUGAUCUGAGUUCAAACCGGAG
This 429-nucleotide ribosomal RNA is filed under the name Amaurobius fenestralis. RNAcentral's name for it is "partial 16S ribosomal RNA". Lineage: Eukaryota; Metazoa; Arthropoda; Arachnida; Araneae; Amaurobiidae. The record is from RNAcentral.